Theobroma umbraticum is the source of this 1631-nucleotide non-coding RNA. NCBI's taxonomy places the organism in Eukaryota, Viridiplantae, Streptophyta, Magnoliopsida, Malvales, Malvaceae. The record is from RefSeq and is a predicted model, not a curated record.
UUAUUUUUUUUAUAUUUAUUUUCUCUUUCGAGCUCAAACAAAAAAGAGACUCGAAAGAGCCCUAGAAAAGGCUGCCUCUUCUCUUUCCUCUUCAUUUCUCUCCUCCUUCAAAUCCCUAUUUACCAAAUUUAAUCUGUUUGUAUGUUUUUAAGAAAAAAUUUGGAUUUAGUUUAAAGGAUCUUAGCCCCCAAUUCAAAUCGGAAGUCACUUUGUUUUUUCUAUCGAAGCCUCGAAGUUGAAGUUGCUGUUUCUGCCUUGUCCAGGGUCCAGUCAUUUAGCAUUACUGUUGGUACAUUAGAGAUUUCAUCAUGCCAAAGGAGAGAAGAGAUCGAUCCAUGUCUUUUGAUAGGUAUAGGAGAUCUCCCUUUUCAUGUAGCUCCAGCUGUAGUCACCGAUGUUCGCCAAAACUCCCUUCAGAAACUGAGGAAAAUCUAAAGGAAUGGGAAGAAGCCAGGUGCCCUGUCUGCAUGGAGCAUCCUCACAAUGCAAUUCUCCUCAUAUGUUCUUCCCAUGAGAAGGGCUGCCGUCCAUACAUGUGCGACACAAGUUAUCGCCACUCUAACUGUUUUGAUCAGUUUCGCAAGUCAUUUGCAGAUACCUCAGCAACAACACAAGAUCCUCAACAAGAAGGAGCUCAACUCGCAACUACAAACUUAUCACCGGUGUCAGCUGCAACUGCAACUUCAGAAUCGACUGUCACCGAUUUGCAGGAAGAAAGAAGUGAGGAAGUUCCUGCAAGAAGUGAGGAAGGGUACUCCACCCCAUCAACUGUCUCAUGUGAGAAUCAGGUUCUGUCAAAACUAGUGUGCCCUCUAUGUCGUGGUGAGAUAAAAGAUUGGGUUGUUGUAGAGCCUGCCCGCCGUUUCAUGAAUGCCAAAUCUAGAAGCUGUUCCUCUGAAACAUGUAAUUUUAGUGGUGCCUAUAAAGACCUGAGGAAGCAUGCAAGGCUUGAGCACCCUUCUGUGCGUCCAUCAGAGGCUGACCCUGAGCGACAGCGAAAUUGGAGGAGGUUGGAGCGCGAGAGAGACCUUGGGGACUUGAUCAGCACACUUCAAUCUUCAUUUGGGGAGGAGAGUGAUGGAAGUUGGCUCACUGUAUUUUUCCUUAUUCGAGUGUUUCGACCAGGGUCUAGUCCUAGGAGCAGCAGCUGGUCUGGCGCCUCAAGGGCGAGAGCUCAAUUGAGUAUUAGGAGGAGGUCUACUAGAUAUUGGGGGGAAAGCUAUGAUGGGGAAACUGGAUCAACCAGAGACGAGGACAAUGAGUCUUCAGAUGGUGGGUCAUUUCCUUGGAGGCGCCGUGUAAGGCGACGGACAACUCCUGACAACCAACCAUAACUGUAAUUGUAUCUUUAAAGGGAUCUGUUUAUUGUUUGAAUGUGAAAGUUUAAAUUGUGGGACAGGGAGAGGAUUUGAUGUGUAUUGGUAGAGCGUCUGUAUCUGUUCCGCACAGCGUGGGACAAAUUUGGUCCGAGUUACUGGAUGGUAUUAAAUGAGUGAAGUAAAAUCUUAAUGUAUCUGGGAACUUAAAUCAAUCAGUAUCCCUUUUUCUUGCGCAGCAAUUUCAUUUUCUGUCUUUUGUGGCUGCAAUAAUCUCAGGGUUUUCCCUUCAACUAUUGAGGGAUUAUUGUUUCU